RNAcentral lists this ribosomal RNA (475 nucleotides) under uncultured Marmoricola sp. RNAcentral's name for it is "bacterial SSU rRNA". It matches the Rfam family "Bacterial small subunit ribosomal RNA", at positions 37 to 525 of the family's 1533-position model. Lineage: Bacteria; Bacillati; Actinomycetota; Actinomycetes; Propionibacteriales; Nocardioidaceae. The record is from RNAcentral.
UGGCGGGGGCCUAACCCGGGCAAGUCGACCGGAAGGCCCUUUCGGGGGGUACUCGAGCGGCGAACGGGUGACUAAAAGAAGAGGGGGGCAGCCCUUGGCUUCGGGAUAACCACCGGAAACUUAGGAUAAAAAAACGAUACGACCACUUCAGGCAUCUGAUGGUGGUGGAAAGUUCCGGCGGUGGAGGAUGAGCUCGCGGCCUCUCUUCUUGUUGGUGGGGUAAUGGCCUACCAAGGCAACGACGGGUAGCCGGCCUGAGAGGGUGACCGGCCACACUGGGACUGAGACACGGCCCAGACUCCUACGGGAGGCAGCAGUGGGGAGUAUUGGACAAUGGGCGAAAGCCUGAUCCAGCAACGCCGCGUGAGGGAUGACGGCCUUCGGGUUGUAAACCUCUUUCAGCAGGGACGAAGCGCAAGUGACGGUACCUGCAGAAGAAGCACCGGCCAACUACGUGCCAUCUUCCGCGGUAAUA